CAAGUCGAACGAGAGUAGCAAUACUCCAGUGGCGGACGGGUGAGUAACGCGUGAGAAUCUGCCUUCUGGUCGGGGACAACCACUGGAAACGGUGGCUAAUACCGGAUGAGCCGAAGGGUAAAAGAUAAAUUGCCAGAAGAGGAGCUCGCGUCUGAUUAGCUAGUUGGUAGGGUAAAAGCCUACCAAGGCAUCGAUCAGUAGCUGGUCUGAGAGGACGAUCAGCCACACUGGGACUGAGACACGGCCCAGACUCCUACGGGAGGCAGCAGUGGGGAAUUUUCCGCAAUGGGCGAAAGCCUGACGGAGCAAGACCGCGUGAGGGAAGAAGGCUCUUGGGUCGUAAACCUCUUUUGUUAGGGAAGAACACAAUGACGGUACCUAACGAAUCAGCCUCGGCUAACUCCGUGCCAGCAGCCGCGGUAAUACGGAGGAGGCAAGCGUUAUCCGGAAUUAUUGGGCGUAAAGCGUCCGCAGGUGGCUAUUCAAGUCUGCGGUCAAAGACUGGGGCUUAACCCUGGAAAGGCCGUGGAAACUGAAGAGCUAGAGUGCAGUAGGGGGUAGAGGGAAUUCCCGGUGUAGCGGUGAAAUGCGUAGAGCUCGGGAAGAACAUCGGUGGCGAAAGCGCUCUGCUGGACUGCAACUGACACUCAGGGACGAAAGCUAGGGGAGCGAAUGGGAUUAGAUACCCCAGUAGUCCUAGCCGUAAACGAUGGAUACUAGGUGUGGCUUGUAUCGACCCGAGCCGUGCCGUAGCUAACGCGUUAAGUAUCCCGCCUGGGGAGUACGCUCGCAAGAGUGAA
Molecule: ribosomal RNA, 800 nt
Filed under: uncultured Family 3.1 bacterium
Lineage: Bacteria
Description: bacterial SSU rRNA
Rfam family: Bacterial small subunit ribosomal RNA
Source: RNAcentral